Molecule: ribosomal RNA, 504 nt
Filed under: uncultured bacterium
Lineage: Bacteria
Description: bacterial SSU rRNA
Rfam family: Bacterial small subunit ribosomal RNA
Source: RNAcentral
GAUGAACGCUGGCGGCGUGCUUAACACAUGCAAGUCGAACGAAGCGAUUGGAAGGAAGUUUUCGGAUGGAAUUCUGAUUGACUGAGUGGCGGACGGGUGAGUAACGCGUGGGUAACCUGCCUCAUACAGGGGGAUAACAGUUAGAAAUGACUGCUAAUACCGCAUAAGCGCACAGGAUUGCAUGAUCCGGUGUGAAAAACUCCGGUGGUAUGAGAUGGACCCGCGUCUGAUUAGCUGGUUGGUGGGGUAACGGCCCACCAAGGCGACGAUCAGUAGCCGACCUGAGAGGGUGACCGGCCACAUUGGGACUGAGACACGGCCCAAACUCCUACGGGAGGCAGCAGUGGGGAAUAUUGCACAAUGGGGGAAACCCUGAUGCAGCAACGCCGCGUGAGUGAAGAAGUAUUUCGGUAUGUAAAGCUCUAUCAGCAGGGAAGAAAAUGACGGUACCUGAGUAAGAAGCCCCGGCUAACUACGUGCCAGCAGCCGCGGUAAUACGUAGGG